Molecule: non-coding RNA, 1705 nt
Organism: Triticum urartu
Lineage: Eukaryota; Viridiplantae; Streptophyta; Magnoliopsida; Poales; Poaceae
Source: RefSeq, a predicted model, not a curated record
ACGCACGCGCGAAGAAUUCAGCCCACACACCAUGCACCACAUCCCGAGCCCCGAUCCACCGCCGCCCCCCUGCUUCCAUCCGCCGCCGCCCCAUGCGUCCAGCGCUGGCCCCUCCACCCCCGCUGGCCCUCUUCCCCAGCGCGCCACCAGGCCCUCCCCCACCGCCAUCUUCCACGCGCCGCCGUCGCUAGCCCCCUGCCCAGCGCGCCGGGGGCCCUUCGCGUCCCAUCUCCGGCGACGAGCCGCCCCCGCUGGACCCCGAGCGCGGCCGCCCCUCCGACUAUGCCGAGUUCGUCAGUCCGUCAGUUCGCCGGUGGGCACCGCAAGUCAGGACCCCAUCUUCCACCCCGCCUCCCACCUCCCGGCCGCCGCGCGCCUCCCUUCCCCGGCCGCCGCGCGCCUCCCACCUCCCGGCCGUCGUGGGCCUCCCUUCCCCGGCCGCCGCGCGCCUCCCUUCCCCUGCCGCCGCGCACUGUCGACGGCGGUGCGCCUCAUUUCAUCGCUCUAUGGCUCGGUGCUCACCUCGACGGCGCCGCGGACGCAGUGGCGCUACUGCAUCGCCUCCUUCCCGUGCUUACAGGUUGGCCUCCUCCUUAGCCCCUUCUGCCCCGAGGAGGACAACAUCCAGCACAAACGGUUCACCGCCACUACCCCGGGCAGUUCACCAAUGUCACCCUCGGCCAUUCACCCCUGCUCCCGACUUCCCUUCCAUUCCUCAAUUCAAUGGAUUCCAAAAAGGAAAAAACUGUGGAUGGGUGAUGAAUCAACUUCCUGUACUGUUGUGCCAUGAGCAUUGGACGACCCCGACCACUGGCACCACUGCUUCCCGACCUCCUUCUUGCAUCGCCAUCUCCUGGUGGGGCUCUGCCGCCGGAGCACUCUGGCCGUUCACAGCCACCACUCCAGGCCGUUCAAUGCCACCACCCCAGGCCGUUCAUUGCCAGCAGCACCCUGGAUCCCACCCCACCCUGGGAGUUUUAGUUAUCGAGGUACGUCCAACGACAACGAGCAGGCGGCAAGUGUAUUGAUGAGCAGCGGGACGGUGGCAUGGAGCAGUUGAGUAGGUGUGCGUAGUUCAAGUUCACCAGUAUUUGUAAAUGCUGGUAGCAGUACUAGUAUUUACAAAUUUGUAACCUAAGAACUAAGCUUGCAUCUCGUUACUUCUAUGGAAGCACUGACCUCGUAAUAUUAUUGGACCAACCACUAACUUGAGAAUUAGACAUGGUGCUCAGUGUAUUCUCUCAAUCUUGGUUGUUCUUGCAGUGCUUAUAAGCUUGACAUCUUUGAUGAAUCCAGCCCAAACUGAAGCAUGUCGGUGAGCCGGGGGCUGGGCCAACCACUGUCGUUUGUCUACCUCCUUCCCCGAGAAGUUACCCUGUUGCGGGCUGACCUGGAGGCGGCUCCGACACAAUUGCAGGACCACCACGCAAGCUUCCUCAAGGAGCUCAUGCCCAACGAUACUAAAAGAAAAAACUGCUCCAGUUUUGAACUACUUAUUCAGUCAUGCUAUUACCGAGUGAAAAAUGGAGUGAAAGAGUAUUGCAAUUGAUCUCUCUUAGACCCUGUCAAUCCUCUAUCUAUCCUUUCUUUGCUUGUUUUUUGGUCUGUAAUUCAAGAACUUUGACCUUCGUAAUUCGGUUUUUGGUUAAUUUGUUAUGCCCAGUACAAACCAUUAAAUCUGAAGAGGCUUCUAAUAGCAAGAAAA